UUAUUUUUAGGCUUUCCAAACACACAUAUACAAUACAAAUUAGGAGUUUCUUUUUUUAUAACAUAUGUUGGGAGGGGAGAGUCGAACCUGAGUCUCUCAGGUUCAACAUACAUGCAGCUACUACAGAGCUAUGCCCACCUCUGCAUACAAAUUACAAUAUUAAUGUACAUGAUAUGUCAAAUAAAAUUACAGCAAUUGAAUUAUUAAUCCCACAAUAGAGCGAUGCAAGUAAUGCAGAAAUGAAAGAUAUGCCUCAGAAAAGCAAGCUUGCCCAUGCAGCAAUAAAUGCA
Molecule: unclassified non-coding RNA, 290 nt
Filed under: Hevea brasiliensis (rubber tree)
Lineage: Eukaryota; Viridiplantae; Streptophyta; Magnoliopsida; Malpighiales; Euphorbiaceae
Source: RNAcentral